RNAcentral lists this ribosomal RNA (479 nucleotides) under uncultured bacterium. RNAcentral describes it as "partial 16S ribosomal RNA". It matches the Rfam family "Bacterial small subunit ribosomal RNA", at positions 355 to 825 of the family's 1533-position model. The record is from RNAcentral.
UAGGGAAUCUUCCACAAUGGACGCAAGUCUGAUGGAGCAACGGCCGCGUGAGUGAAGAAGGUUUUCGGACCGUAAAGCUCUGUUGUUGGUGAAGAAGGAUAGAGGUAGUAACUGGCCUUUAUUUGACGGUAAUCAACCAGAAAGUCACGGCUAACUACGUGCCAGCAGCCGCGGUAAUACGUAGGUGGCAAGCGUUGUCCGGAUUUAUUGGGCGUAAAGCGAGCGCAGGCGGAAGAAUAAGUCUGAUGUGAAAGCCCUCGGCUUAACCGAGGAAUUGCAUCGGAAACUGUUUUUCUUGAGUGCAGAAGAGGAGAGUAGAACUCCAUGUGUAGCGGUGGAAUGCGUAGAUAUAUGGAAGAAUACCAGUGGCGAAGGCGGCUCUCUGGUCUGCAACUGACGCUGAGGCUCGAAAGCAUGGGUAGCGAACAGGAUUAGAUACCCUGGUAGUCCAUGCCGUAAACGAUGAGUGCUAAGUGUUG